Drosophila innubila is the source of this 771-nucleotide long non-coding RNA. RefSeq lists it as uncharacterized. NCBI's taxonomy places the organism in Eukaryota, Metazoa, Arthropoda, Insecta, Diptera, Drosophilidae. The transcript is spliced from 2 exons. The record is from RefSeq and is a predicted model, not a curated record.
UGCACAGUCGACAAAUUGAAGCUCUGAUUGAUGGCGGUUUUCGCUUUGCAAACGCAUCUUGAUUCUGUCACACGAAUGACACAGACAAUUACUCAUUAAACCACAGUUAUUGAUGGUCUAUAGCUCUAUGUUACUUCAGAUGGGAAAACUCAGCAACAUAAAGUCUGUGGCACGUCACUCACUUGAGUGCAGUUUAAUUGCCAUAUAAAUGAAGGCAACCUGCUUCUGUACCUACUAAUUGCUGGCAUAAACUGUUCGUAAGACUGCCACCCACUUAUCAUACCCAAAGCACACACACACACACACACACACUCGGGUUAUUGAUCGACAACGAGGCGAUGUGGAAAACUAGUUGAAAGUAACGAGGUUGGGCCAACAAACUGUUGCAUGUGGCCGACAAAUGAGGCCAACUGUAAAGUGCGUAGCCAGGACAUGGACCAGACUAAUAUCCUCUGACAUUGCACGUACAAAAGUCGUCAGUCAAUGCAGCCUAAAGAGGAGCGAGAUAAGGGGAGAGCAAAAGAUACUCUACCGCAAUUGAUUCUAAGACUGUUCAUCAAUUAAUUACUAAAUGGAGCUCAGCUCGAAAUGUUGCGUGGACAUUUUGCGAGACGUUUGCUAAUUAAAUGAAAUUUCAUUAUUUGCAUUAAUUGAGCUUACGAGUCUGCACAAAUUAGCUUAACUGAGGAGCCUCAACACUCUCAAGAGAUUGUCAUUGCUCUUGGCAAUUAAAUAAAAUUUACCAUAACAAACUGUGCUGUGUCAGCACGA